RNAcentral lists this long non-coding RNA (3833 nucleotides) under Canis lupus familiaris (dog). RNAcentral describes it as "lncRNA (ENSCAFG00845009307.1)". The record is from RNAcentral. Lineage: Eukaryota; Metazoa; Chordata; Mammalia; Carnivora; Canidae.
CUGAAAUCCAAAGCCACAACAAUAAAUAAAGUUAUUAUAUAUGUUAUAAUAGUAUAGUGAUAUCAUCCAUACUCAAUAUAAGCCAUAUUAUGAGCCUGACAAAUAAUAAAUACUCCUAAAUCUUUGUGGGAUAUUAUUAUGUGAUUUUAUAUAUCAUGGAAACCACUCUAAUUUCUUAAAGUCUUUUUGUUUGGAUUCUAAAAUCUUCCACUGGUAAAUUCUCAAAAUUGCCAUAUAGUAAACACAAGGGGCAAUAGGAAAUUUUUCUUCCAAACAUUUUCGAUGAGCAAACAUAUAGCUAAAAAGACACUGCCUUGUAAUCAAAGAUCAUUCUAAAUUCCCCUUAUUAGUAGGUACAUUCAUCGCUUGUCUAACAUUCAGUCCCACCAACUCCACACCCCUUCCUCCAUUCAGAUCCCCCUGCACAAUCUUCCUGUAGCCCUGGAGAAAAAGCAAUGUCUUUCCGCUGUGAUUCUUAAGUUAGGAAUGUGUUUUGAAGUGCAUAAGAGUUAUCUUGUUGUUUAAUUGUGAAGUUGACAAAGUAAGGUUUUCCUGUCAUGAAAAAGCCUGUGUAAUAUCAAGUGCUUACCUGUCUUCUCAAAUAUCUAUGCCACCCAAUUUAUUUAAUCAUUCUUUGGCUUUUGAACUAGAUUUCUACCAUCACAUAUCUCUUCAGUCCUGAUGACACAAAAAAACACAAGGAAGCCAAAGAUAUAGCAGAGAAGAUGAGCUUUCAGAAGUACAAGCAAUCUUAGGAGACCUUACUUUGAUGUUUUGACAAUAUGUCUUCCCAAGAGAGAAAAAUAGGGAUAGAAAGAAUAAAAAAAAAAGUAAGGAAGUGAAAAAGGAGGAAAACUUAACAGGCUUACAUUACUUAGAGUCUAUAAGUAAUGCUUCAUGAAAUAAUUAUUUUUUCAAAUGUAUUUCAUCAUUCCUUAAAUCAACAGUAAAAAUCUUUUCAUUGUGUCCAACUUACUAUACUUCUGUAUGUUACAGUCAACUGUAGCAUGAGAAUAAUUUUAAAGGGGAAUGACAUUUGAAAAAAUUCAAAAGACAAAUCUAAAUCUUAUUCUAUACUUCUAAAGAUCUCAGUGAUGUUCAGUCAAGAUGGUUUACUAACAGAAUAAUAGAAUGACAAACUUUUCAUCAAUAAAAAUGUUUGUUACAUAUGAUAUCAUUAUCAAGUUGUAAUCAAAUCUGUCAUUAUUUGAAAAUAUUUUCCUAAUGUCUAUACAUUUCAUAAAUCUUUUUUAUGAUCUUUCAAGACUGAGGCUAGUUGUUUUUAGCUUAUAUGGCUCAUAUUUUUCAGUGAUCAUUUUUUAAAAAUAUAGAGUGCUUUAUGAAUUUGUGUGUUAUCCUUGCACUGGGACCAUGCUAAUCUUCUCUGUAUCAUUCCAAUUUUAGUAUAUUGUGCUGCUGAAGUGAUCACUUUUGGUGAUAGUUUUCAACACUUAAAAUGAAAUGCAGAAGACUUUUUCAAUAUAUACAAAUAUGAGUUGAAAUAAAAUUACAUUAAGUAGUAGAAAGGUUUGAUACAUUAACUAAGGAUGAUGACUACUGGCUUAUAAAAAUUCACACUACAUUUUGUAUAGCUAUUGUGUAGCUAUGAGCUUAAGAAUUGGAGUACCUACACAGUGGGAGAGUACAAAUGAACACCUAUGCAGAUGUUACUAUAACAACAGAACAACCAAUAUGCUAUAUGAUAGAAAAAAGCAAAGUGAAGUACUGAUUAUAAAUGGUGCUUAGCUUUAUUAAGCCAAGAGAGCACUAUUACUCAAAGUCUGUAUCUGACUGAGGCAAGUUGUUUUGUUGUAAUCAUGUUCUUGAGCUAUCUUGUGACUGUCAGUCAAGGACUGCCAUUCACCUAAAGGAAGCAGAAGCCUUGAAAAUGUUGUUAGGUAAUAGUCUGAUCCACAUUGAAGAACUUUUAAUUCAGAAUUUCUACCACUUUCUUUGAAAUGCUCUCACAUGUUCAUAAGGACAACAGCCAUGGAACUAUGAUAGUGUCAAAAGUCAACCUGCUACACAAACUCCUUUGAAAUCUUCAACUGCGUAGUCACAUGUCUAAAUGAAAGACUAGUGAUCAUCUCAUUGGAAAUAUUUCUAAAAUAUCAACAAAAAAUGAACUUAACAUUACAUCACAUAAAUCCUUUUUUUGAAGGUACAUGUUCUUUUAGCUGAAAACACAAUUUAAUAUUUGCCUUAUAUUUAGGUAGAGUAAGUCCUAUUUGUGAUAUUUUGAUAGGACCAUGCAUAGCUGUGAUGCUUCACAUCCUCUUAUACAACUAAAAUUCUUAAAAUUGAAAUUCAUUACUGGACUUUAGUUCUUGCAUAUACAACCAUCUUGGGAGAAGUAACACAUUUGACUGCUUUUGCCAUCGUUUGUUGGUGUCAAUAAGUUUAUCAAAUCUUUCUUUGCGAGCACUUUAGAUACGACCUCCAGGAAGAUGGGUAUAGAGAAAGAAUAAGUACUUAGAAAAGUAUAAAACAGACUAGGAGGGGAAUGGGAAAGUUUCCAAAACAAAGAUAGAAUAAUAUAAACUUCUGUUUAUAAUUUCCUUUCAUUUUGGUAAUCUAUAGCAACAUUCUUAGUAAGAAAGCAAUGACAGAACCAGCUGUUGACAAAUUAUUUUUCUAUAAUCCAUAUUAACUAAGCACAAACUACUGACACAGUAUGUCUUCUACUUUGGGAUUGGGGAAAUGUUUUAAAUGUCAAUAAAUGACUUGUUGAAAGGGAGAAAAUUCAGAUACAUAAUUAUUCUUUUCUUUCUUUUGUUGGAUUGACUUUCCAGGUACGUGCUUUGGAAAUGACUAAGAAGUGUUAUUGUUACAAAAGAAAAAGAAAAGCUGAGGAAUAGCAAUUCCCUUUUUGAGUUCCUAGGAACAUAUAUAGAGUCUUAAUAAGGUCAUUGGUGAAUAUUUUAAUUAAAGUAUUCUUAGGCUUAUGGAAUUACUAGGUCAUAUUAGAAUAUGCAAAAUGAGUGUUUAUACUUAGUUUGGCCACAUACAACCUUUUUAAAAGAGUAGUUGAUAGCAUUUUCUAAACCUUUCUACUUUCUAUUCUUUUUAAUUUGGUGUGUUCUGAGUUCUUUCCUUAUCACUCCACUGAAACUGCUCUCAGUAAUGACAUUGUUGACUUGACCUGACCUGACAAAUUCAAUAGAUGCUUUCCAGUAUUCCCUUUGUUCCAUUUGAUGCUGUUCAUCCAUCCCUUAUCGAUACUUCUUGUCAGUUCUGUGACUCUCCCUGGGUCCCAUUUUCUCUUAGUGUUUUCACCACCUAAAAGUCUGAAUCUUAGUCUCCUUUGUGGGGUUCCUCUUCCUCCAUACACUCAUUAUACACAGGUAUACCUCAGAAUUCCACUUGCUAUUCUUAUUCCUUCUUCAUCCUUAGAUGAUCAUAUCCACUCACUCUGAAGAUUCACUUAUUAUUUAUAUUGGUUGUUCCUAACAAUUAGGGAACAUAGAGUCUGCAAGGUUAGCUGUUCUGAGUCCAGAGGUGAAUACUGUAUAGUGACUGGAACUGGGGACAAUGGAAAAUAAUAGCACAUCUCUGUAUCCUCUGCAAAGCCUUGCUUCAGACCAUCAUCAGACCAUCAUCAGACCAUCAUUGCCUCUCACUGAUUAUGUGCCAGGCAUUGUCAGGAGAAGUGUAUAUGGAAAGUUAUAUAAAAUAAAUAAAAAGGUCAUGAUAUUAUACUUGUCUAGCAUAAAUCUACUCAUAGGAGUGACUGAAUAACCAUUUGCACUAAUUGUUUGGGUCUAUUAAAUAGGUCAUAGGAAGUUCAUCUGGUCCAGCAACUUCCUAGUAUUACUGAAGAAUUAAAAAAAAAA